GUGAAUCAUCAAAUCUUUGAACGCAAAUUGCGCCUUUUGCGAAAGGCAUGUCUGUUUGAGGGCACCAUUUGACAAAUAAUGUGCAGCGUUGUGUGGAUGUAUGACGUGCACACGUUGAUGAGCUUUUCAAUAAUUUUAAAUUUUUGGUGGCACAUAAUGAACAGCGUGAAAGUUCUGUUCAUUUCGAGUU
This 190-nucleotide unclassified non-coding RNA is filed under the name Paraglomerales sp. RNAcentral's name for it is "partial contains 5.8S ribosomal RNA and internal transcribed spacer 2". The stretch from base 1 to 65 matches the Rfam family "5.8S ribosomal RNA", at positions 84 to 154 of the family's 154-position model. The record is from RNAcentral. Lineage: Eukaryota; Fungi; Glomeromycota; Glomeromycetes; Paraglomerales.